AAUGUGGAGCCGUAGCGAAAGCGAGUCUGAAUAGGGCGUUUAGUAUUUGGUCGUAGACCCGAAACCAGGUGAUCUACCCUUGGUCAGGUUGAAGUUCAGGUAACACUGAAUGGAGGACCGAACCGACUUACGUUGAAAAGUGAGCGGAUGAACUGAGGGGAGCGGAGAAAUUCCAAUCGAACCUGGAGAUAGCUGGUUCUCUCCGAAAUAGCUUUAGGGCUAGCCUCAA
Molecule: ribosomal RNA, 229 nt
Filed under: Staphylococcus aureus
Lineage: Bacteria; Bacillati; Bacillota; Bacilli; Caryophanales; Staphylococcaceae
Description: partial 23S ribosomal RNA
Rfam family: Bacterial large subunit ribosomal RNA
Source: RNAcentral